UACAGAGGGUGCGAGCGUUAAUCGGAAUUACUGGGCGUAAAGCGUGCGUAGACGGUAGCGUAAGUCAGAUGUGAAAUUCCCGGGCUUAACCUGGGGGCUGCAUUUGAUACGUGUGAUCUAGAGUGAGGAAGAGGGUCGUGGAAUUCCCAGUGUAGAGGUGAAAUUCGUAGAUAUUGGGAAGAACACCGGUGGCGAAGGCGGCGACCUGGUCCUUGACUGACGCUGAGGCGCGAAAGCGUGGGGAGCAAACAGG
RNAcentral lists this ribosomal RNA (253 nucleotides) under uncultured bacterium. Its description in RNAcentral is "partial 16S ribosomal RNA". It matches the Rfam family "Bacterial small subunit ribosomal RNA", at positions 524 to 776 of the family's 1533-position model. The record is from RNAcentral.